This is a regulatory RNA element of Pseudomonas fluorescens, 123 nucleotides long. The record is from Rfam. Lineage: Bacteria; Pseudomonadati; Pseudomonadota; Gammaproteobacteria; Pseudomonadales; Pseudomonadaceae.
CGCUGGCCGGAAUUCGAUAUUGAUUUGGGGGGUAAACCGGCAGGGAUGCCGGUUUAGCCGCCCCGCGCCAUGGAUGGCGCGUGGCGGCGGCCCCCCCAAAUCAAUGUCGGAUUACGGGCACAC